This 421-nucleotide ribosomal RNA is filed under the name uncultured bacterium. RNAcentral's name for it is "partial 16S ribosomal RNA". It matches the Rfam family "Bacterial small subunit ribosomal RNA", at positions 360 to 773 of the family's 1533-position model. The record is from RNAcentral.
AAUAUUGGACAAUGGGGGCAACCCUGAUCCAGCCAUCCCGCGUGUGUGAAGAAGGUGUUCGGAUUGUAGAGCACUUUUAGCUGGGAGGAAGGGCUUUAGGUUAUCAUCCUGAAGUUUUGACGUUACCUACAGAAUAAGCACCGGCUAACUCUGUCCCAGUAGCCGCGGUAAUACAGAGGGUUCAAGCGUUAAUCGGAAUUACUGGGCGUAAAGCGCGCGUAGGUGGGUCAAUAAAGUGGGUUUGAAAUCCCCGGGCUUAACCUGGGAACUGCUUUCAUAACUGCUGAGCUAGAGUACGGUAGAGGGUAGUGGAACUUCCUGUGUAGCGGUGAAAUGCGUAAGUAUAGGAAUGAACACCAGUGGCGAAGGCGACUACCUAGACUGAUACUGAAACUGAGGUGCGAAAGCGUGGGGAGCAAAC